CUUGCUAGCUAUUUCAUUAUUAUGAAACAUAGGGAUGAAAUAAAAAGCAACUCACAAAAAAAUACAGAAAAACAGCAACUGACAAAAAAAAUUACAGAAAAAUAGCAACUCAAAAAAAAAAAGCUAGAAGGAAGAAGUGAAGAACCACUCUUCUUUCUCUUCAUGAAAAACAAUGGAAGAGUAGACCUUAAUACUAAUGCAUACUAUAUUUAUAUGGCUAAAUUGCUUCACAGCUGACCAGCUGCAUUAAUAAAAUUUAAACAGUAACUACUAAGUGUAUUGCUGGUUCUAAUUUAUCUUUGUAAUACAAAAUGAACCCGAAAUGAAUCAAUUUAAUUGAAUGCCAAUGCAGUGAAUGCAGAAUCAAGAACACAAGUGAGCUAAACAGGAUAUGUUUGCAGUUAUGCAAACAGAAAAUAUCAGGAGCUAUGCAAAUCCUUGACAACUAUACAAGCAUACACAACAUACACAACUUCAAAGGCCAACAGAAUUCUUUCCUAAAUCUUGACAUAAUGAACACUAGAAAAUUGAUGUUCAUCCUAUAACACAAACAACUCAUUCAUCCUAUAACACAUACAACUCAUUCACCUAUAACACAUCAUCAUCAUCAUUACUAAACUGUAAAAGUGACACAUUCACUGUAAACUCUAAACCUAUAACUCAUUUACUGUAAAUUGACAUCAUUCACUGUAAACUCAUUCACCUAGCUAUAACACAUGCACUGUAAACUCAUUCACCUAGCUAUAACACAUGCACUGUAAACUCAUUCACCGAUAACACAUCACCUAUAACACAUUCACCUAUAACACAUCAUCAUCAUCACUACUAAACUGUAAAUUGACAUCAGUGUAUUAGAUUCUUACCGUAAGCCCGUCUAUCAACUUCUUCUUCUCAGAGUCACCGAUGCAUUCCCAGUUUCCGGCCGACAAUUUGACUUUGGAUCGAAUUAUGCAACCAAUGCUAUUGACCAGGAGGCUGUUCACUGAUGAUGAAGACGGUCCUCUGAUGAAGUCGUCAUACACAACUUCGAUCAAGCCGGAAACUUUCACAAUUCGUUUCACCUUGUCCAGGUUGCCGAACCCUCGUCGGCGUU
RNAcentral lists this long non-coding RNA (1093 nucleotides) under Fragaria vesca (wild strawberry). RNAcentral describes it as "long non-coding RNA (FVES_LNC004664)". The record is from RNAcentral. Lineage: Eukaryota; Viridiplantae; Streptophyta; Magnoliopsida; Rosales; Rosaceae.